AUGCCCAGAACCUCACAAUGAGGUGCUUUGUGAGCCUCAUGCCAAGGUUAAUUUGGCACCUUCUUCCCAGAGAGCAUGUGCAGACUGUGACAGGCUUUCAAAGAAGCCACUGCCCACAUGUGCUCUCUUGCUUUCUUAUUGGUGUUCAGGAGGAGAGGGCCGGUUCCUCUCCAGAAAGCUGGGUGCUAUGACAGAUGAGACUUUUAUGCAAGAAAACAAAUCCUACACCUUUGAUGUACUGCUUGAAACUUAAAGAUCUCUUUGGACAUGAAAUUGUAAGUAUCCUCUGCAGUAUGUAAGUCUCUAAUUUUGGUGAAGUCCAAUUUAUCUUGCUCAUGUGUUUUUGGUGUCAUACCUAAGAAACUAUAGCCUAAGGAGAUGAGCUGCUUUCCUCUGCUACCCUGAAGUCUGUGUGGUUCCGUCUUUUUUCCAAGAAAAUCAAAUGGUUUUACAUGAGAUUGAAUCUUUCUAAAGAGUUAUAUAUAUGAUUCCUUUUACAACUAGAGACAUCAAAGUCAAGAACGGCCUGGUCCAACAUCUGUGAAAUGCAAAAAUAUUUUAAGUCAGAUAUUUUUAAGAGAUGAAAAAAUUCUUAAAGCUAAAUUUUACUCUAAAUUUUUCAUUUUCUAUUUAGGUUG
This 638-nucleotide long non-coding RNA is filed under the name Heterocephalus glaber (naked mole-rat). RNAcentral describes it as "lncRNA (ENSHGLG00000047689.1)". The record is from RNAcentral. Lineage: Eukaryota; Metazoa; Chordata; Mammalia; Rodentia; Bathyergidae.